UGGAAGGUAGCUCAACCGGCAGAGCACUGGUUUUUGGUAUCAGGGGCUGCAGGUUCGAACUCUGCCCUUCCAGCCA
This 76-nucleotide transfer RNA is filed under the name Roseobacter ponti. RNAcentral's name for it is "tRNA-Gln". It matches the Rfam family "tRNA". Rfam says of the family: Transfer RNA (tRNA) molecules are approximately 80 nucleotides in length. Their secondary structure includes four short double-helical elements and three loops (D, anti-codon, and T loops). The record is from RNAcentral. Lineage: Bacteria; Pseudomonadati; Pseudomonadota; Alphaproteobacteria; Rhodobacterales; Roseobacteraceae.